This 459-nucleotide ribosomal RNA is filed under the name Cupriavidus gilardii. Its description in RNAcentral is "partial 23S ribosomal RNA". It matches the Rfam family "Bacterial large subunit ribosomal RNA", at positions 1407 to 1850 of the family's 2925-position model. The record is from RNAcentral. Lineage: Bacteria; Pseudomonadati; Pseudomonadota; Betaproteobacteria; Burkholderiales; Burkholderiaceae.
AGGCGUAGUCGAUGGGAAAAUGGUUAAUAUUCCAUUACUUCUGUGUAAUGCGAUGAGAGGACGGAGAAGGCUAAAUCAGCCUGGCGUUGGUUGUCCAGGUGAAAGGAUGUAGGCAUGUAUCUUAGGCAAAUCCGGGGUACUCUAUGCUGAGAUCUGAUAGCAAGCUGUACUUGUACAGCGAAGUGGUUGAUGCCAUGCUUCCAGGAAAAGUCUCUAAGCUUCAGUUACACAGGAAUCGUACCCGAAACCGACACAGGUGGUCAGGUCGAGUAGACCAAGGCGCUUGAGAGAACUCUGCUGAAGGAACUAGGCAAAAUGGUACCGUAACUUCGGGAGAAGGUACGCUGUUGUUGGUGAUGGAACUCGCUUCCUGAGCUGACGACAGCCGCAGAAACCAGGCCGCUGCAACUGUUUAUUAAAAACAUAGCACUCUGCAAACACGAAAGUGGACGUAUAGGG